AGUGGCGGACGGGUGAGUAACGCGUGGGGAACCUGCCCCAUACCGGGGGAUAACAGCGGGAAACCGCUGCUAAUACCGCAUAAGCGCACACUGAGGCAUCUCAGAGUGUGAAAAACUCCGGUGGUAUGGGAUGGACCCGCGUUGGAUUAGCCAGUUGGCGGGGUAACGGCCCACCAAAGCGACGAUCCAUAGCCGGCCUGAGAGGGUGAACGGCCACAUUGGGACUGAGACACGGCCCAGACUCCUACGGGAGGCAGCAGUGAGGAAUAUUGGACAAUGGAGGCAACUCUGAUCCAGCCAUGCCGCGUGAAGGACGAAGGCCCUAUGGGUCGUAAACUUCUUUUGUCGUAGAGCAAUAAGGUGUACGCGUACAUCGAUGAGAGUAUACGACGAAUAAGCAUCGGCUAACUCCGUGCCAGCAGCCGCGGUAAUACGGAGGAUGCAAGCGUUAUCCGGAUUUAUUGGGUUUAAAGGGUGCGUAGGCGGACGUAUAAGUCAGCGGUGAAAGGUACCGGCUCAACCGGUGAGCUGCCGUUGAAACUGUGCGACUGGAAUGCGGAUGCCGUGGGAGGAAUGUGUGGUGUAGCGGUGAAAUGCUUAGAUAUCACACAGAACACCGAUUGCGAAGGCAUCUCACGAAUCCGUUAUUGACGCUGAGGCACGAAGGCGUGGGGAUCAAACAGGAUUAGAUACCCUGGUAGUCCACGCGGUAAACGAUGAUGGCUAACUGCCGGCGAUAUAGUGUCGGUGGCCAAGCGAAAGCGAUAAGCCAUCCACCUGGGGAGUACGACCGCAAGGUUGAAACUCAAAGGAAUUGACGGGGGCCCGCACAAGCGGAGGAACAUGUGGUUUAAUUCGAUGAUACGCGAGGAACCUUACCCGGGCUCGAACGGCUGAGGAAUGAGUUAGAGAUAAUUCAGUCCGCAAGGACUUCAGUCGAGGUGCUGCAUGGUUGUCGUCAGCUCGUGCCGUGAGGUGUCGGCUCAAGUGCCAUAACGAGCGCAACCCUUGUCGUCAGUUACCAUCAAGUAAAGUUGGGGACUCUGGCGAGACUGCCACCGCAAGGUGAGAGGAAGGGGGGGAUGACGUCAAAUCAGCACGGCCCUUACGUCCGGGGCGACACACGUGUUACAAUGGUGGGUACAGAGGGAUGCUACCUGGUGACAGGAUGCGGAACCCGAAAACCCAUCUCAGUUCGGAUUGGAGUCUGCAACUCGACUCCAUGAAGCUGGAUUCGCUAGUAAUCGCGCAUCAGCCGUGGCGCGGUGAAUACGUUCCCGGGCCUUGUACACACCGCCCGUCAAGCCAUGAAAGCCUGGGG
Molecule: ribosomal RNA, 1321 nt
Filed under: uncultured bacterium
Lineage: Bacteria
Description: bacterial SSU rRNA
Rfam family: Bacterial small subunit ribosomal RNA
Source: RNAcentral